UACGGAGGGUGCGAGCGUUGUCCGGAAUUACUGGGCGUAAAGCGUGCGUAGGUGGUGAGUUAAGUCUGAUGUGAAAUCCCCGGGCUCAACCUGGGAAUGGCAUUGGAUACUGGCUCGCUAGAGUGCGGUAGAGGGUGGUGGAAUUCCCGGUGUAGCAGUGAAAUGCGUAGAGAUCGGGAGGAACAUCUGUGGCGAAGGCGGCCACCUGGACCAACACUGACACUGAGGCACGAAAGCGUGGGGAGCAAACAGG
This 253-nucleotide ribosomal RNA is filed under the name uncultured bacterium. RNAcentral describes it as "partial 16S ribosomal RNA". It matches the Rfam family "Bacterial small subunit ribosomal RNA", at positions 524 to 776 of the family's 1533-position model. The record is from RNAcentral.